CAAAGAAGGGUCUAGCUGUUGGAAUAAUGGUAUCCAUUGCUAUUUGAGCCUUUGUUGUUAGUGAAAUUGGUGAAUUAAGCGAAGGUACGGAAAGAGAGGGAUUCGAACCCUCGGUAAACAAAAGCCUACAUAGCAGUUCCAAAAGAAGACUUCCAUCUCCAAGUUUAAAUCAGACGUAGCUCCCUUCUUUUUUUUUUGGGGUGUAAAGCAGUGUCAAACCAAAAUACCCAACAAGCAUUAGCUCUCCCUGAAAAGGAGGUGAUCCAGCCG
This 270-nucleotide long non-coding RNA is filed under the name Nicotiana benthamiana. RNAcentral describes it as "long non-coding RNA (NBEN_LNC035568)". Lineage: Eukaryota; Viridiplantae; Streptophyta; Magnoliopsida; Solanales; Solanaceae. The record is from RNAcentral.